UACGUAGGGUGCAAGCGUUGUCCGGAAUUAUUGGGCGUAAAGAGCUCGUAGGCGGUUUGUUGCGUCGGCUGUGAAAUCCCGAGGCUCAACCUCGGGUCUGCAGUCGAUACGAGCAAACUAGAGUGUUGCAGGGGAGACUGGAAUUCCUGGUGUAGCGGUGGAAUGCGCAGAUAUCAGGAGGAACACCGAUGGCGAAGGCAGGUCUCUGGGCCACUACUGACGCUGAGAAGCGAAAAGCAUGGGGGAGCGAACAGG
RNAcentral lists this ribosomal RNA (255 nucleotides) under uncultured bacterium. RNAcentral's name for it is "partial 16S ribosomal RNA". It matches the Rfam family "Bacterial small subunit ribosomal RNA", at positions 524 to 776 of the family's 1533-position model. The record is from RNAcentral.